GCAUGUAGCUCAGUUGGCAGAGCAUUGAAAUAGUAUCCCAAAGGUCGCGGGUUUGACUCCCACCGUCGGGCC
Molecule: transfer RNA, 72 nt
Filed under: Paramuricea clavata
Lineage: Eukaryota; Metazoa; Cnidaria; Anthozoa; Malacalcyonacea; Plexauridae
Description: tRNA-Thr
Source: RNAcentral